AUAGGUUGUGUAAAUGGCGUGAAAUAGUAGCGAGCUGGGCGGUUGUUUCGAAGCGUACGGGAACUAUACGUCGCGAGCCUAUACAUCUAGAAUGGUUGUGAAUCCUUACUCGGCCUUACUCUAGGCGUCCAGCAAGUUGGCCCGAUUCGCCUCGAGUGCGAUGCGAAUUCCAACGGAGCCUGCGUUUUGGCACUCAUUCCCCACUCAAAGCUUGCUAAUCGAUUUCCGUUUAGCGCGCGCCCCGGCGAUCGGUCGAUCGGUCGAUCGAUCGGUCGAUCGGCCAGCGCGUCUUUCGAAUGAAAUUCUCGUCGGACGGUGUGAACGAAAUCUUCUCUCUUGCGCCUUUCUGCGGUCACGUGGAACUUUUGCUCAAAGACGCUCGACUCACGGAACGAUAUAUGUAUAUAGUUGGUUAAAAAUCCAAUCGAUCGAUGCGAAACCUUUGAUGAAAAUACUUUUCGAAUGAGACACUGAUCGACAAACUAUUAUAUAAAUUCUAUUUUUCUUUCUUUUUGGAAAUAUGUUAUAUUAAAAAUUUAUAGUGAAAAGUUUCCUAAUUUACAUUUACUCUAUUCGUAGUGUAGUAA
Long non-coding RNA from Frieseomelitta varia, 587 nucleotides. RefSeq lists it as uncharacterized. The transcript has 3 exons. The record is from RefSeq and is a predicted model, not a curated record. NCBI's taxonomy places the organism in Eukaryota, Metazoa, Arthropoda, Insecta, Hymenoptera, Apidae.